UAGCAAUACGGUGGAAAGUUCAGUGGCGAACGGGUGCGUAACACGUGGGCAAUCUGCCUUGAAGUGUGGGAUAGCUCGGCGAAAGCCGGAUUAAUACCGCAUGUGGCUACUGGAGACAUCUUCGGGACGCUAAAGGUGGCGCAAGCUACCGCUUUUUGAGGAGCCCGCGGCCUAUCAGCUUGUUGGUGAGGUAACGGCUCACCAAGGCGUUGACGGGUAGCUGGUCUGAGAGGACGACCAGCCACACUGGGACUGAGACACGGCCCAGACACCUACGGGUGGCAGCAGUCGAGAAUUUUUGACAAUGGGGGAAACCCUGAUCGAGCGACGCCGCGUGGAGGAUGAAGGUCUUCGGGUUGUAAACUCCUGUCAUUUGGGAACAAGGCGUAUUUAUUAACUGUAAGUACGUUGAUAGUACCAGAAGAGGAAGAGACGGCUAACUCUGUGCCAGCAGCCGCGGUAAUACAGAGGUCUCAAGCGUUGUUCGGAUUCAUUGGGCGUAAAGGGUGUGUAGGUGGCGCGCUAAGUCGGGUGUGAAAUUUCGGAGCUUAACUCCGAAACUGCAUUCGAUACUGGCGUGCUUGAGGACUGGAGAGGAGACUGGAAUUCUCGGUGUAGCA
RNAcentral lists this ribosomal RNA (620 nucleotides) under uncultured Verrucomicrobiota bacterium. Its description in RNAcentral is "bacterial SSU rRNA". It matches the Rfam family "Bacterial small subunit ribosomal RNA", at positions 77 to 680 of the family's 1533-position model. The record is from RNAcentral. Lineage: Bacteria; Pseudomonadati; Verrucomicrobiota.